GACCACGUAGCUUAACUGGAUAGAGCACUCGACUUCUAAUCGAGGUGGUGCGAGUUCGACUCUCGUCGUGGUCC
Non-coding RNA from Saccostrea echinata, 74 nucleotides. Lineage: Eukaryota; Metazoa; Mollusca; Bivalvia; Ostreida; Ostreidae. The record is from the annotation of a RefSeq genome assembly.